RNAcentral lists this long non-coding RNA (238 nucleotides) under Elaeis guineensis (African oil palm). RNAcentral's name for it is "long non-coding RNA (EGUI_LNC071545)". Lineage: Eukaryota; Viridiplantae; Streptophyta; Magnoliopsida; Arecales; Arecaceae. The record is from RNAcentral.
GGUUGGGUUUUAACAUGGUCUUGAUCCUCUUGCCCAUCGAUCCUACGAUGUUCUUACUUGAGAGAGUGGUCAUAAUCCCAUAUUGAUAAUGUUCUUACUUGAGAGAGUGGUAAUAAUCCCAUAUUGAUUAGAGAAGGGACCUUAUUGGUGCUUACGUACUCAAGGGCAUAAGAACCUUCUUGGAUGCUUGGAGGUGUCCUUGCAAGUACUUCUAGUCUGCAUCAUUAAGCACUUUAGG